UCAAGCGCGAAAAGGGCGUUUGGUGAAUGCCUUGGCAGUAAGAGGCGAUGAAGGACGUGAUACUCUGCGAUAAGUUAUGGGGAGCUGAGAAUAAGCUUUGAUCCAUAAAUUUCCGAAUGGGGCAAUCCACCUGAUAUUCUACUAUUGUUGCACUUCGGUGCAUUCAAUAGUCGGGUAAACCAGGUAUUUAUAACUUGAAUACAUAGGGUUAUAAAAGCAAACCCGGGGAACUGAAACAUCUAAGUACCCGGAGGAAAGGACAUCAAUUAGAUACUCCCCUAGUAGCGGCGAGCGAACGGGGAUCAGCCGAGCCAUGAGUGUGACUAGAAUGUGUUGGAAAGCACAACCAAAGUGGGUGACAGUCCCGUAUAGGAAGCAUGAUUGGACGUAUUAAGUAGGGCGGGACACGUGAAAUCCUGUUCGAAGAUCGGAGGACCACCUCCGAAGGCUAAGUACUCCUUACUGACCGAUAGUGAACCAGUACCGUGAGGGAAAGGUGAAAAGCACCCCGACGAGGGGAGUGAAACAGUUUCUGAAACCGGACGCCUACAAUCAGUCGGAGGCCCCUUGAGGGCUGACGGCGUACCUUUUGUAUAAUGGGUCAUCGACUUAGUGUAUCUAGCAAGCUUAAGCCGUUAGGUGUAGGCGCAGCGAAAGCGAGUCUUAAUAGGGCGAUUGAGUUAGAUGCAUUAGACCCGAAACCGAGUGAUCUAGGCAUGACCAGGCUGAAGGUGAGGUAACACUUACUGGAGGGCCGAACCCACACCUGUUGAAAAAGGUCGGGAUGAGUUGUGCCUAGGGGUGAAAGGCCAAUCAAACUCGGAGAUAGCUGGUUCUCCGCGAAAUCUAUUUAGGUAGAGCGUCAUCCGAAUACCCCGGGGGGUAGAGCACUGGAUGGGUAAUGGGGCCCCACAGGCUUACUGAUCCUAACCAAACUCCGAAUACCCGGGAGUAAUAGAUGGCAGACACACUGCGGGUGCUAACGCCCGUAGUGAAAAGGGAAACAACCCUGACCGACAGUUAAGGCCCCUAAUUCAUGGCUAAGUGGGAAAGCAGGUGGGACGACCAUAACAACCAGGAAGUUGGCUUAGAAGCAGCCAUCUUUUAAAGAUAGCGUAACAGCUCACUGGUCUAAUUAAGUUGUCCUGCGGCGAAGAUGUAACGGGGCUCAAGCCAUGAGCCGAAACUUCGGAUGCAUUUAUGCAUGGUAGCGGAGCGUAGUGUGACAUAGUUCCAUGCGUCUUUAACUUCCUUCGGGGAGUAUUGGACGCAAGGAGCUUUCUGUGAAGCCGGCCUGUGAGGGAUCCGGUGGAGAGAUCACUAGUGAGAAUGAUGACAUGAGGAACGACGAAGGGGGUGAGAGACCCCCUCGCCGAAAAUCCAAGGGUUCCUGCUUAAAGCUAAUCUGAGCAGGGUGAGCCGGCCCCUAAGCCGAGGGCGAAAGCCGUAGGCGAUGGGAACCAGGUUAAUAUUCCUGGGCCAGGAGGAAGUGACGGAUCAUGAAGAUUGUUGGAUCAGGCGUAGUUGCCCCAGCAGUUAAUUGGUUCCUGGAAAUAGCCCUCCAUCAGACCGUACCCUAAACCGACACAGGUGGAUAGGUAGAGUAUACCAAGGCGCUUGAGAGAACUAUGUUGAAGGAACUCGGCAAAAUACCUCCGUAAGUUCGCGAGAAGGAGGCCCGGUUUCUAGGCAACUGGAAGCUGGGGGCACAAACCAGGGGGUGGCGACUGUUUACUAAAAACACAGGGCUCUGCGAAGUCGCAAGACGACGUAUAGGGUCUGACGCCUGCCCGGUGCUGGAAGGUUAAAAGGAGUGGUGAGAGCCGCGAAUUGAAGCCCCAGUAAACGGCGGCCGUAACUAUAACGGUCCUAAGGUAGCGAAAUUCCUUGUCGGGUAAGUUCCGACCU
This 1908-nucleotide ribosomal RNA is filed under the name marine metagenome. RNAcentral describes it as "bacterial LSU rRNA". It matches the Rfam family "Bacterial large subunit ribosomal RNA", at positions 1 to 1989 of the family's 2925-position model. The record is from RNAcentral.